GCGGGCAUAGCUCACCAGGUAGAGCGUCAGCUUCCCAAGCUGAAGGUAGCGGGUUCGAGCCCCGUUGCCCGCU
Molecule: transfer RNA, 73 nt
Organism: Flexistipes sinusarabici DSM 4947
Lineage: Bacteria; Pseudomonadati; Deferribacterota; Deferribacteres; Deferribacterales; Flexistipitaceae
Rfam family: tRNA
About the family: Transfer RNA (tRNA) molecules are approximately 80 nucleotides in length.
Source: Rfam